UAAUACGGAGGACCCGAGCGUUAUCCGGAUUCAUUGGGUUUAAAGGGUGCGUAGGCGGCCCGGUAAGUCAGCGGUGAAAGGCUCCUGCUCCACAGGAGAGCUGCCGUUGAUACUGCUGGGCUAGAAUCUUAGCGAGGCGGGCGGAAUGCGCGGUGUAGCGGUGAAAUGCAUAGAUAUCGCGCAGAACGCCGAUUGGGGAGCCAGCUCGCCAGCUGAGUAUUGACGCUGAGGCACGAAAGCGUGGGGAUCGAACAGGAUUAGAUACCCUGGUAGUCCACGCCGUAAACGAUGAUAGCUCGCUCUUGGCCCGCAAGGGUCAGGGGCUUAGCGAAAGCGUUAAGCUAUCCACCUGGGGAGUACGCCGGCAACGGUGAAACUCAAAGGAAUUGACGG
RNAcentral lists this ribosomal RNA (393 nucleotides) under bacterium enrichment culture. RNAcentral describes it as "bacterial SSU rRNA". It matches the Rfam family "Bacterial small subunit ribosomal RNA", at positions 521 to 916 of the family's 1533-position model. The record is from RNAcentral.